Molecule: long non-coding RNA, 397 nt
Organism: Salvia splendens (bonfire salvia)
Lineage: Eukaryota; Viridiplantae; Streptophyta; Magnoliopsida; Lamiales; Lamiaceae
Exons: 3
Source: RefSeq, a predicted model, not a curated record
CCUACAUUUGACAUUGACCACCUGCUCACUGAUGCUUCAUUAUGGAAAUUCUCUCUUAUAUACAUAGGAGAUUGGUUUGAUGGUGAAUCACCACCAGGUCCACCACCACCACCAACAUCAUCAUCAAUUGAGUAAAACUCAGAGAAAUGAAUACGUAACCUUUGUUAAACGAAGACAGAAUAUGGACACGUACAUAAUAACAAAACGAGAGUUUGAAAAGACCUCGCUGUCUAAUUGCAGUGGACGACGAGAGGAGGCCAACGUGAUCCACAUCCUCGGCUUUUUCUUGAGUGCCGGAGCUCUUUGAUCCCUCGUCUCUGGAAGAAGAAGCAAUGUCAGCUGGAUGUUCAGAACCAAGAAAUCAUAAUCUGCCAUAGAAACACCAACCUGAUCUUUG